This 1979-nucleotide long non-coding RNA is filed under the name Homo sapiens (human). RNAcentral's name for it is "HSALNT0330064". Lineage: Eukaryota; Metazoa; Chordata; Mammalia; Primates; Hominidae. The record is from RNAcentral.
GCUGGACUGAGCUGGGCUGGGCUGGGGAGGCACCUGCGGCUGCCAAGGGGUCCGAGCGCCGCCCAGCGCACAGCUACCCCGGAGGGGCGGCUCCUUGGCCAGGGAAGGAGGCGGGAUCUGCUUGCCAGCGGGCGUCUCCGCUUAGCGCUCUCUCCAGAAACCGCUGGGCAGUCUCCUGGGUGAGCGCCAGACGCCUGGGGUCCGUUUGCCGCCUGCUGAGACUAGACAAGGACCCCGGGAGGGCGACGUUGGGGGAGAGGGCUACGGAUGGAGGUCCCGCCGCGCUUGGGCCGGGUCCGGAGCCACCAGGACGCACAGCGGGUUUCCCUCAUUCUCAGUCAGGUGGUUGAGUUAUCCAAGCCUUCAUAACCAGAGGGUCUGAGCACUUGUUGGACUGUGCUUACUGCAGCUUCUCAUUUACAAUUACCACUGCACCUGAGAGUACCAAGAGAUUCCUGAGCCAGAGAUUACGAUUUCCAACUUCCAGCUCCUCAAGAUGGAGAAACAGAGGGAAGAAGAGACUUGGAAUCACUCUGUCCUGGCUGUGGGUCUAUGAAAAAGAAUGUGGCCUACUGCUAAAUACAUUGAUUUUGAAGCUAGAUAGCUCUGGUUUUGGGGAGCAAGUGAUUUGAUCUCUCAGAGACUCAGCUACUUCAUCAGUAAACAGAGAUUACCAUAUCCACCAGUAAUGGCUAUAGGAGCAGUAAUAGGGAUGAUAUAGGUGAAAGCACUGAUCACUGAAUGAUUCCAAAGACAGGUGCAGAGAGGUUCAGGCAUCAGACAGGCUACCUGGAUCCAAAUCCCAGCUCCAUCAUUUACUACUUUCAUGGCCUUUACAAACCACUAAACUUCUCUCUGAGCUUCAAUUUUCCCAUCUGUAACAUGGGAACUAAUAAAAUGAAACCUUCCUAAUAAAGUUGCCAGGAAGAUUCAUUGAGACAUUGAAUGUAAAGUAUUUAACUCAAUAUAGAGCACAGGGGAGCACCAAAUAAAAUUCAGGUGUUACAUUUUUAAGCACGUGUUCACCAAGGCUCCCAAUUCAGGUGGUGAGGAUUCUAUGAUGAUCAAUUCCUCCUAAGGUAUUUGUAAAAUGACCCACCAGAUUACCAACCAUUCCUGUAUUUCCAGAACCCUUUGGAGUCCUUUAUGUAACCUGGGAGAGCUGUUAUUCUUUUUUCUUUUUGGUAGAAGUGAAAUCCUGCAGGAAAACUUGCUCCAUUUUGGUUAUUUCUGUUAUAUCACAAGGUGGGCUGGAUAGCAAGUUUUGGAAGCACUGAACACCCACACGGAGCUGGCUCCUCUCAGGCGGGGAGGCAUCUUCACUAAGGAGAGGUGCAGUCUGUGUCCCCGUCCUUGACUCUGAGAAUCCCUGUGAUCAACAGAAUGCAGAAAAGUGACACUGCAUGGCUUCUGAGGCUAGGUCCAGAAAAGGUGAUGCAGCUUCCCCCUUUGCGCUGAAAUGCAGUGCUUGGACCUCAGAGCUAUUGACUAAGAAGUCCAUGCACCCUGAGCUUCUCAUGCUGGGGAAGCCACGUGUAGGCAUUCAGUUCCCAGCCCAGCUGAGCUCCAUCCUGGCUGCAACAAUUGUUCUCAUGAGGAAGCCAUCUUGGACACUCAGCUCCAUGGAGCCUCCACGAGUCGCCAGCCCCAACUGACAUCUGUCUCACUGCAACCACAGAAGAGCCUCCAACCAAGAACUGCACAGCUGAACCCUUUCUAAAUUCUUGAUCUCCAAAAAGCCAUGCACAAAAUAAAAUGGUUGUUUUGAGCCACUAAACUCUGGAACCUCGAGUAGGGGAGAAGUUCCUUUGGAUGAAAGAAGAGAACCCUUAGAACGUGUUACUUGUCUGCAGUCUCAUGUGCAGCAGGGCCAGCAUUUGAACCAGGUGCCUUUUGCCUCUGGAGUCUGAGCUGCCAAUUACUGUGUUACAGUGUAUAAUUUUAUCAGUUAUUACCAUUUAUAUAAAAUUUUAAGUCAU